GCCACGAGAAAAUCUAGCUUGUUUGCUGGUAGUGUUUGGUGGUCGACUGGAUAUGGCUCUACUACUAGCCAGCUCGUUACUAACAAAACUACCAGUUCGGGAAUACCUUUUGGAAAAUUGGCUUAGGGGUGUGAGUAGGCUGGUGCUGACAGAACUGUGAAGGUGAAAGGCACAAUGUGAUCCGCUCGAGAGAUGCACAAAGAAGCGACACGCUCUUCCUUCCCGAAGUCCUCCGCACAGACGUGAAGCCGGCCACGCACGGUAAUGAGACGGAAGAUUCAUCGCCGCUGACAUUCCCGGCUAAGAGACAGCCGUGUCUGUGGGAGCUGCGUGGAUUAGGGUCGCCCCACCUGAGGGUCGCCCCACCUGAGCGAGCCACCUGUCCCCGGGCACCUGCAGACAUGGGCACAGAAGAGAGAGAGAGGAGGCGGUGAGGACGGGGGCCUCUCUCGCCCGCAGGUGUCCCUACCUGCCCCGCCUGACUGACCUGCCUCGUCCCAUUCAUCCUGCCUAUUAAUCUCAGACGGAGGGCCAGAAGACCAGGUUAAUGUUCUGAGUCAACAGCAGCGAGACUUCCCCCCGCCAAGCUUAUCAAAGGUUCGACUGUCCCCAGCCUUCUCACCGCAGCCAAACGCUCCUGUUUGGGGAGCGGAGGGCAGCGGGACAAAAAACCUAAUCUACACCUGACUGCGGAAGAUAAGACAGGCGGCCAUUUUCUCUGGAGAAACGUCCAUUCUAGCAGAGUUUAGUCUUCACGCGAUGCCUAAUUACUGAUAUGCGGUUUGACGGGCGUCCUCUCGUUGUCAUCGUUUCCUUGGGUCCUGUGCCGUAGGCUAAUUAUAAAAUGAAAGCGCAUGAAUACGA
Anguilla rostrata (American eel) is the source of this 864-nucleotide long non-coding RNA. RefSeq lists it as uncharacterized. Lineage: Eukaryota; Metazoa; Chordata; Actinopteri; Anguilliformes; Anguillidae. The record is from RefSeq and is a predicted model, not a curated record. The transcript is spliced from 5 exons.